UACACUCCUGCGGGAGGCAGCAGUGGGGAAUAUUGGAUAAUGGGCGCAAGCCUGAUCCAGCCAUGCCGCGUGAGUGAUGAAGGCCCUAGGGUUGUAAAGCUCUUUCACCGGUGAAGAUAAUGACGGUAACCGGAGAAGAAGCCCCGGCUAACUUCGUGCCAGCAGCCGCGGUAAUACGAAGGGGGCUAGCGUUGUUCGGAUUUACUGGGCGUAAAGCGCACGUAGGCGGACUAUUAAGUCAGGGGUGAAAUCCCGGGGCUCAACCCCGGAACUGCCUUUGAUACUGGUAGUCUUGAGUUCGAGAGAGGUGAGUGGAAUUCCGAGUGUAGAGGUGAAAUUCGUAGAUAUUCGGAGGAACACCAGUGGCGAAGGCGGCUCACUGGCUCGAUACUGACGCUGAGGUGCGAAAGCGUGGGGAGCAAACAGGAUUAGAUACCCUAGUAGUCCC
This 448-nucleotide ribosomal RNA is filed under the name uncultured organism. RNAcentral describes it as "partial 16S ribosomal RNA". It matches the Rfam family "Bacterial small subunit ribosomal RNA", at positions 332 to 797 of the family's 1533-position model. The record is from RNAcentral.